CAAUAGCGUAUAUUAAAGUUGUUGCAGUUAAAAAGCUCGUAGUUGGAUCUCUGGUUGAAGCGACCGGUCGGGCGUUGAUUCGUCUGCACUGGAGUCGGUUUUGGCCAUCCUCUAGGAAAGUGCGUCUGGUAUUAAGUUAUCGGGCGUAUGAUCCUGGUCUUUUACUGUGAAAAAAUUAGAGUGUUUAAAGCAGGCCUUCGCCUUGAAUACAUUAGCAUGGAAUAAUAAGAUAGGACUUUGGUCUAUUUUGUUGGUUUGCAGACCGAAGUAAUGAUUAAUAGGGAUAGUUGGGGGUAUUUAUAUUCCGAUGUCAGAGGUGAAAUUCUUAGAUUUUCGGAAGAUAAACUUAUGCGAAANCANNNACCAAGGAUGUUUUCAUNAA
This 382-nucleotide ribosomal RNA is filed under the name uncultured eukaryote. RNAcentral's name for it is "partial 18S ribosomal RNA". It matches the Rfam family "Eukaryotic small subunit ribosomal RNA", at positions 592 to 976 of the family's 1831-position model. The record is from RNAcentral.